RNAcentral lists this unclassified non-coding RNA (264 nucleotides) under plant metagenome. RNAcentral describes it as "partial contains small subunit ribosomal RNA, internal transcribed spacer 1, and 5.8S ribosomal RNA". The stretch from base 216 to 264 matches the Rfam family "5.8S ribosomal RNA", at positions 1 to 49 of the family's 154-position model. The record is from RNAcentral.
UCUCCGUUGGUGAACCAGCGGAGGGAUCAUUACCGAGUUUACAACUCCCAAACCCAAUGUGAACCAUACCAAACUGUUGCCUCGGCGGGGUCACGCCCCGGGUGCGUCGCAGCCCCGGAACCAGGCGCCCGCCGGAGGGACCAACCAAACUCUUUCUGUAGUCCCCUCGCGGACGUUAUUUUUACAGCUCUGAGCAAAAAUUCAAAAUGAAUCAAAACUUUCAACAACGGAUCUCUUGGUUCUGGCAUCGCUGAAUAACGCAGC